This 71-nucleotide transfer RNA is filed under the name Trachys auricollis. RNAcentral describes it as "tRNA-Gln". Lineage: Eukaryota; Metazoa; Arthropoda; Insecta; Coleoptera; Buprestidae. The record is from RNAcentral.
UUAUGUUUAAGUAUACGAUGUACGCAGGUUUUUGAUAUCUUCGGGGAUGGUUUGACUCCAUCAAACAUAAU